CUUUGAACUUUAAACACAAGAAUUCAUAAUUCUUUAUGCUGAAUUAUCUUGGUAUCAGAGCAAUUCUCAUCUAUUUCAACCUCUUCGACCACUUGGUAGAUAUAUUGUGUAUUUAUUGAAUUGAUAUUGGCAUCAUCUUCAACAAAAUCAGUCUCAGGUAAACCAUCUAACUUUUUUUUUCUUACCAAGCUUUGAACUUUGAGCAAUUUCUUGACUUACAUGGGAUCUUGUCGAAUUAUCUCUAAACAAAUCUCUUGGGAUGUAAAUUGUAAAAACUCGUUAUGGUGGUUCAAUUGAGCAAUACAAAAGUUAUUAAUUAUUUGUAAAUGUAAAUAAGUUUUGAAUGAACAUUGAGAUAAUGAUCAGUACUCGCAGCAGCGAUAACUUGUUCUGGUUUAAGUAAUUUUGUGUUCAUAAAUGGUAUCGAUAAGUGCUGAUCUUGUGGGUGUAAGGCAUGGCUGCUUGAAUCCGGUCUUUUCUUUUCUGAAGAAACCUCUGUAGAGAUUUCUUUAAGGAGAUGCCUCGACGAUGCAGCUGAAAUUGCAUAUACGGUACUGGUGCCACACUACUAGUUCUUGAAUUGUUUAAUUUUUCUUCCAUUUCCAUUCUUGCAAGCCAAAGGAUGGCUAUGGCCUGCAGCAGCAUUACAUAAAACGCAAUCGAAUCGUCAAUCCAUGAAAAAAUUUAUUCAUCUGGGAAUUUUUCUAAGUUCUUUCCCAUUAAUUAAUCAGUUUUUGAAACGUUUCCAGUUGGUUUGGGAGAUGGAAGCUAAUGCCACU
RNAcentral lists this long non-coding RNA (779 nucleotides) under Olea europaea subsp. europaea. Lineage: Eukaryota; Viridiplantae; Streptophyta; Magnoliopsida; Lamiales; Oleaceae. The record is from RNAcentral.